UACGUAGGUGGCAAGCGUUGUCCGGAAUUACUGGGUGUAAAGGGAGCGUAGGCGGGAGUGCAAGUUGAAUGUGAAAACGAUGGGCUCAACCCAUCGUUGCGUUCAAAACUGCAUUUCUUGAGUGAAGUAGAGGUAAGCGGAAUUCCUAGUGUAGCGGUGAAAUGCGUAAAUAUUAGGAGGAACACCAGUGGCGAAGGCGGCUUACUGGGCUUUAACUGACGCUGAGGCUCGAAAGCGUGGGUAGCAAACAGG
RNAcentral lists this ribosomal RNA (252 nucleotides) under [Clostridium] methylpentosum DSM 5476. RNAcentral's name for it is "partial 16S ribosomal RNA". It matches the Rfam family "Bacterial small subunit ribosomal RNA", at positions 524 to 776 of the family's 1533-position model. Lineage: Bacteria; Bacillati; Bacillota; Clostridia; Eubacteriales; Oscillospiraceae. The record is from RNAcentral.